Molecule: long non-coding RNA, 548 nt
Organism: Parus major (Great Tit)
Lineage: Eukaryota; Metazoa; Chordata; Aves; Passeriformes; Paridae
Exons: 3
Source: RefSeq, a predicted model, not a curated record
AUGAUGGAGCCUGGAAGGUUCUGGGAGGUCCUGGGAGGUUCUGGGAUGUUCCGGGAUGUUCUGGAAGGUUCUGGGAGAUCCUGGAAGGUUCUGGGAUGUUCUGGAAGGUUCUGGGAUGUUCUGGGAUGUUCUGGAAGGUUCCAGGAUGUUUCCAAUCCAUAAUUCCCCGUUAUUUUCCCGCAAUCAGAGGAUUUCGGAGCACCACGAUGACGGAGUCUGGGAUGUUCUGGAAGGUUCUGGGAUGCUCUGGGAUGUUCUGGAAGGUUCUGGGAUGUUCUGGGAUGUUCUGGAAGGUUCCAGGAUGUUUCCAAUCCGGAAUUCCCCGUUAUUUUCCCGCAAUCGGGGGUUUCUGAGCACCACGAUGACGGAGUCUGGGAUGUUCUGGAAGGUUCUGGGAUGUUUCCAGUCAGGAAUUCCCCGUUAUUUCCCAGCGAUGAGCGGGUUUCUGAGCACCACGAUGACGGAGUUUGGGAUGUCUGGGAUGUUCUGGAAGGUUCUGGGAUGUUCUGGAAGGUUCUGGGACGCUCUGGGAUGCUCUGGAAGGUUCU